CAGACAACCAGGAGUAACUGUGAUCAGGAACUUGAGCAGCUAACGUCAAGCUUGUCAGAAUGCCCUACUUUGCAAGACAUAAAACAGUGGCAAGUCGAGGAGCUUCAAGCAAUGAAUGGGGCAAGGGAGAGAAGACGGGCAAAUCAG
This is a long non-coding RNA of Priapulus caudatus, 147 nucleotides long. RefSeq lists it as uncharacterized. NCBI's taxonomy places the organism in Eukaryota, Metazoa, Priapulida, Priapulimorpha, Priapulimorphida, Priapulidae. The transcript has 3 exons. The record is from RefSeq and is a predicted model, not a curated record.